UCCUUUCCUCCCCGACCGAUGGAGCACCACCGAUUUCCCCAACCAAAUCUGGCGGAAUCCUUCUCCACCUCCCUCCUCCCGUGCCUACCCCGGCCUCCCACCACCGUGCCAUCGACGAUGCCGCCACGCUACUCCACCUUACCCUCCUUCACACCCAUCCCAUCGUCGCUGCGCCAAACCAAAGGCACCUAGGAUCCGAGCUCCCGAGCAGCACCGAGUUCGGCGAUGGCCAUCGGUUCAGUGCAGCUCGGAGGCUUUGGUUCAGUCCCCACCGCGUUUGUCGUCUCCGGUGUGGACUGCUGCAACAACGCCGCGUGGUGCUUCGUGGCGCUUGCAGUUCCUGACCGUGAGCGCCAUCGGUCGUCCCUCACAGCGAUUCGAUCGCCACAAGCCCCGGACGUGGCCAUCAGCACCGGAUCCGGUGGCCACGGUCCCGGAAACGACCAUUAGCACCGGAUCUAGCGCCGCCACUGAAGCCACGCCGGCCAUCUACGCACGAGCAACUCCGGCGUUGGGGCGCACCGGGAACCGCCACGCCUUGCUCCUCCUGCACGCCGGAGAUGUGAAGGGGAGGAUCCCCUAACUCCCCUGCCAACCGUCGCGGCAUGCAACCUCCUCUCCCUUCGAGCUCGCCGACCCCCUCGUCUCCUAUAGCCGUGUAGUCCGGCGACCAUAGCCGUUCAGUCCGCAGCCGUGGCCGUGCAGCUCAGACAAGUGCGCAAACGCAAUGAAGUUCCUUGCUCGUGCGCGUGCUGCUCGACGAACACAACUGCACUGCAGCUUCUAGAUGGUGGACUGCGGAAGGUGCGGGGCUCCUCCGACAUGCUCCGGUGGCCAAGUCCUUCCCCUCUGUGUUGCUCGUUGCCUGAUUCAUGACACCAGCGGGCCAAAAGAGGAGGAGAGGGCGACGACCUACCUCUACGUCUAUGCCUUAGCUCACGGGUGUGCCUCAAGUUUACUGAGGGAAUACAACAGAAAUUUCCCGAUUCAUAUAACUCCAAAAAAGGAUUGGUGAUUGCCGAGUUGCACUUGGCUCCAGCGACAUUCAGGACGGCCUUGUCAACCUUGUCCCUUGCCAGAAACAAGAUCUCGUAGCCUUCCGGUUUCUCAAACCAACACAGCUCGAGAAACUCUAUGCCCCCGAGGCACCCAACUCUCUUCAGCAAGGCACAGAAAAGAUCAUCAAUGUCGGGCUGUUCAGCAGGAAACUGAACCGAACAAGACAUUCACGAUAAGACAGUGAAUCCAUGCCCUUCCUCCUCUCCUCCACAGCGGGACAACAACCGGAUGAUGGCAUGCAGUUCCUUAACUCCUAACUGCGGUUCAGGAAGCUUUGGUGUUCAGUCUGAUUUUUGUUGGCGCGCGGUUCAGGCGGCCUGGGUGUGCAUUCAGAUUGCAGUUCACCGGCGAGAUCCUAGCCGCCAUGCAGCAGGGCCAGCGAGACCCACCCUAUGU
This is a long non-coding RNA of Triticum dicoccoides, 1455 nucleotides long. RefSeq lists it as uncharacterized. The record is from RefSeq and is a predicted model, not a curated record. NCBI's taxonomy places the organism in Eukaryota, Viridiplantae, Streptophyta, Magnoliopsida, Poales, Poaceae. The transcript is spliced from 3 exons.